Molecule: non-coding RNA, 73 nt
Organism: Podarcis lilfordi (Lilford's wall lizard)
Lineage: Eukaryota; Metazoa; Chordata; Lepidosauria; Squamata; Lacertidae
Source: the annotation of a GenBank genome assembly
CCCUCAGGUAGCACAAUGGGUCAAUGUGUUUGGCUGUUAACCAGAAGGUUGGUGGGUCAAGCCCACCCAGGGA